Gorilla gorilla gorilla (western lowland gorilla) is the source of this 766-nucleotide long non-coding RNA. RefSeq lists it as uncharacterized. The record is from RefSeq and is a predicted model, not a curated record. NCBI's taxonomy places the organism in Eukaryota, Metazoa, Chordata, Mammalia, Primates, Hominidae. The transcript has 2 exons.
GGAAAACGCCACGGACGUCGGAGGCCCAGGGGGCGGGGCUCGGCGGCGGCCCGCACUGUAUUUUUUCCUUCCGGGGACGGCGGAGCCCAGGGCUAUCCCGGCCUCAGCUCAUACCCGGAGGGCCGGCAGGCGUUGAGUCCUCCAGCCGGUGAGGCUCGGGCCGGGGUGUCGGGACCGCCUGAACACGCGGGCUCUGGGAGCUUCAGGGACCAGGGAGCCCCCUCGGCCGAGUUGCGUCGCAGACUACAGCUUCCAGCAUGCGUCGCCGCUCCCAGCAUGCACCUUCCUCCCGAAACGCGUCUCUGCUUCCGGCGCUCUGCUGCGGAGGCCGUGGCCGCGGGUAGUUGGGAGGAACGGAGAUUUACGCUUGUUCUGGAGGCUGGGAAGUCCAAGGGCGAGGGGCUGGCAUCUGGUAAAGGCCUUCUUGCUACACCAUUCCAUGGGGGAAGAUGGAAGAGCAAGAGGACACACAAGCAAGAGACAGCUAAACUCAUUUUUACAACACAUGCUCAUGACAACGAACCCACUCUGAUAAUAACAUUAAUCCAUUCAUGAAGGCAGAACCCUCAUGGCCUAAUCGCUUCUUAAUGGUUCCACCUCUUAAUACCAUCACAAUGGCAAUUAAAUUUCAACAUGAAUUUUGGAGGGAACAUUCAAACCAGAGCACUGUUGACUGAGUUUUCAUUUUUUAUUUUAAUAAUUGCUUUUUUAAAAAUUUCCAGGGUCUCUGGUUCUUUUUUAUAAACUACCUGUUCUUGUUUCAUAA